GACGAACGCUGGCGGCGUGCCUAAUACAUGCAAGUAGAACGCACAGUUUAUACCGUAGCUUGCUACACCAUAGACUGUGAGUUGCGAACGGGUGAGUAACGCGUAGGUAACCUGCCUGGUAGCGGGGGAUAACUAUUGGAAACGAUAGCUAAUACCGCAUAAUAUUAAUUAUUGCAUGAUAAUUAAUUGAAAGGUGCAAUUGCACCACUACCAGAUGGACCUGCGUUGUAUUAGCUAGUAGGUGAGGUAACGGCUCACCUAGGCGACGAUACAUAGCCGACCUGAGAGGGUGAUCGGCCACACUGGGACUGAGACACGGCCCAGACUCCUACGGGAGGCAGCAGUAGGGAAUCUUCGGCAAUGGACGAAAGUCUGACCGAGCAACGCCGCGGGAGUGAAGAAGGGUUUCGGAUCGUAAAGCUCUGUUGUAAGAGAAGAACGGGUGUGAGAGUGGAAAGUUCACACUGUGACGGUAGCUUACCAGAAAGGGACGGCUAAUUACGUG
RNAcentral lists this ribosomal RNA (505 nucleotides) under uncultured bacterium. Its description in RNAcentral is "partial 16S ribosomal RNA". It matches the Rfam family "Bacterial small subunit ribosomal RNA", at positions 28 to 507 of the family's 1533-position model. The record is from RNAcentral.